Molecule: ribosomal RNA, 418 nt
Filed under: uncultured anaerobic ammonium-oxidizing bacterium
Lineage: Bacteria
Description: bacterial SSU rRNA
Rfam family: Bacterial small subunit ribosomal RNA
Source: RNAcentral
GUGAACGAGCGACGCCGCGUGCAGGAUGAAGGCCUUCGGGUUGUAAACCGCUUUGGUCCGAAAGAAAGGGUAAAACUUGAUCGAUCGGAGAAACAAGGACGGGCUAAGUUCGUGCCAGCAGCCGCGGUAAGACGAACCGUCCAAACGUUAUUCGGAAUCACUGGGCUUAAAGGGCGCGUAGGCGGCCGAGCGGGUCGUGGGUGAAAUCCCCCAGCUUAACUGGGGAACUGCUUACGAUACCACUGCGGCUCGAGGAAGGAAGGGGCAAUUGGAACUGUCGGUGGAGCGGUGAAAUGCGUUGAUAUCGACAGGAACGCCUGUGGCGAAAGCGAAUUGCUGGUCCUUUUCUGACGCUGAGGCGCGAAAGCCAGGGGAGCAAACGGGAUUAGAUACCCCGGUAGUCCUAGCCGUAAACGAU